Molecule: ribosomal RNA, 515 nt
Filed under: uncultured bacterium
Lineage: Bacteria
Description: bacterial SSU rRNA
Rfam family: Bacterial small subunit ribosomal RNA
Source: RNAcentral
GAUUCUGGCUCAGGAUGAACGCUAGCUACAGGCUUAACACAUGCAAGUCGAGGGGCAUCAUGAGGUUUGCUUGCAACCUUGAUGGCGACCGGCGCACGGGUGAGUAACGCGUAUCCAACCUUCCCCAUAGUAGGGCAUAGACCCGGCGAAAGUCGGAUUAACACCCUAUGUUCUCCUUGUAUGGCAUCUGAUGAGGAGCAAAGUUUUACGCUAUGGGAUGGGGAUGCGUCUGAUUAGGUAGUCGGCGGGGUAACGGCCCACCGAGCCAUCGAUCAGUAGGGGUUCUGAGAGGAAGGUCCCCCACAUUGGAACUGAGACACGGUCCAAACUCCUACGGGAGGCAGCAGUGAGGAAUAUUGGUCAAUGGGCGCGAGCCUGAACCAGCCAAGUAGCGUGCGGGGAAUGACUGCCCUAUGGGUUGUAAACCGCUUUUGCAGGGGAAUAAAGUGGCGUACGUGUACGCUUUUGCAUGUACCCUGAGAAUGAGGACCGGCUAAUUCCGUGCCAGCCGCUGC